RNAcentral lists this ribosomal RNA (450 nucleotides) under Triticum aestivum (bread wheat). RNAcentral's name for it is "partial small subunit ribosomal RNA". Lineage: Eukaryota; Viridiplantae; Streptophyta; Magnoliopsida; Poales; Poaceae. The record is from RNAcentral.
AUGGCGCAACAGUAUGCAAACAAAAUAUUGGAGAAGAGCACCCCACUAUGCAAUGGUAGAGAAAGUAAUGUAGAUAAGGUUCAAGAUAGUGAGACAACCCUGUUGGUCUCCAAGAAAGGUGAUAAAAACAAUCUUGUAGACAGUGAGAAAACCCCACAGUCCUGCGUUGAUGUAGUGUUCGAGUUACUCGCCAGUACCGCUAGCACAAGCUCUUCGAACUCGCUGCCUGAAUCACUUUGGCUUCUUCAGUCUCAGCUACAAGCUGAAAGGCAUCAGUCAGCUGUGUUGCGGCAAGAAGCCGAAGGACUGAGGAAGUCCCUGCAGAAUUCAGAUGCGCACUUUCUUGUGCAACAGCAAGCGCGGGAGGAUUUAAGCGCCAAACAAGAGAAAGUUAAUAAGCUUGCUAAGCAUCUUGCUAGCAUUAUGGGUACCCAGGAUAUUGUUUCUUGA